UCAUGUUCAUUGAUUAAAGUAAAGCAAUAGCAUGAAUCUAACCAUAGUAGCCCAAAAGGGAAUCAAGGACUAAGUAAAUAGAAAGCUAGUCAAUCCUUAGGUUGCUCAUAGUAUGCGGACAUAAUAGGUUAGAGGACACUUGCCUUCACCAAACAGAUGCUCAGGGUCUUCAACUUCGUGGAACUCGAAGAGCCAGAUCACUUGGUCGCCGAAGCUUGACCGUCGAUUCCUCGAAGCUCGAAAACGAAUCGCAUUCUAUUCGCGACAUGCAGCGAAUAUGAAUAGGCACAAGCAAACAAACAUAUACAAGUAUAAGAACAUCACACCAUACAAAGGAAAACAAUAUAAGAAUGUGCAAUACAAAAUAAAGCUCGCUUCUAUGGUCACGCGAGGAAAGAAACGCGAUCGUCGAAGCUACGGUCUAGAAGUUAUAACGUUUCGCUACACAAGUAAUAGACAUGACAUUUAAUUCUACACUAUAAAAUAUAAAUUAUAACUGCAGUGUAGUUUUGAUGAUUAAAUCUGCUACACUAACGGCUGUCAAAUAAAUAAUUAACAUAAUUAGCACGAGAGAUUCUAAGCGAGGCGAGUUUACGAUGCGCGAAACAGCAUGUCAGCGUGCGAACAACACGCGGACACUCGCAACAUAGCACGCUGACGGCGCAUGAAAACGGUGCGCGCGACCAUCAUGAACGACGCGCGAACCGGCAUGCCACCACGUGCGGAACAACACGCGCGACAGGAGAGAAAAACUAAAUAGAUGACACGUUUAUACUAAACAAAUAUUAAAUAAAUAAAAAGUAGUUAAGUUAAUAUUAGUCAUGUUAAUGUUUAUUAUAAAAGCGCAAGUUGAACACUACACAUUUAAUCUAAUUGGGAUAUUAAUCUAAUAAAUAUUAGUCGAGCAAACCUUAAGUUAAUUAUGUAAAAUACAUGGUCCAACGAUUUAACGUUACUAACAUAAGUGUUUAUAAGCGAAAACAAUUUAUUAUCGCGCACACGCCGCGCGGCACACGACAAUGCGUGAAACAGCACGUGGACGACACGCUACGACGUGCGCGGACAGCACGCGCGCCAUGCGAAACAGCACGCGCGACACGCACGGACGACGUGCAAACAGCGAGACGAUACAGUAGAAUCGCUAACCGAUAUCACAUUCAUACUAGAAAGUGUUAAUUACAACAUUUGAGUCGACAUAAUCACAUUAACGGGUAUUUAUAAAAGAGCAAGUUAAAACUUAUAAUUUUAUUUUAGAUUGCUACUUUAUUAACUCUCGGAUAAAUAAAUAAUCGAUUAAAUAGCUAAGACGUGUAUCGCGACGAAAUAAUGUUACUAACACGCACGUGACGAGGUUAUGAAGUUAAUACGACUAAAACGAGUCGAAACGGAUUUACGACACAUGAUUUAUUGAAUAAAUCGCAAUUUACGAAUUAUAAAUGACGCAACAUACGAGAACUGCUAAACACCCAUCGCAAUUAAACUAGGCAAGUAUGGAAUCAAAAUAUUUGAGUUGGUAUUUACUUCAUUGACAUUUUUUAUAAAAGUGCAACUUAAAACUAUAAAUUAGCUUUAACUACAUUGCUAUUUUAAGAAUCUACGAACAAAGUGGUAAUUAAUUAAAUACAUAAAACAUGUGUCGAGCCAAAACAAUGUUUCUAACAUGUAGAAAAUAUUAUUAUGGAACUAACAAAGACCGGAACGGAUCAAAACGGAUUUAUAACACCACAAAAAAUAUUGAGUAAAUAAUAACUCUCAGAUUUAAAGUGAUGUGGCAUAUUUUAUUGUUCAAAAACUCGCCACACGGAGGGCCACAUGGGCUCAGCCAUAGUGGAUCGUGGAGGUGGGAUCCGGUGUGGCCACAGCCAUACACGGGCCAACCAGGAGCUGGCUUGGUCGCAUGCGAUCACAGGAAUCACGGAGGCAAAGGUGCAUGCAUGUGGGUAGGGCCCACGGGCGGUUUCUUUUUUUCCCUAUUCCCUAUUGCACGAAUGGCUAGAGCAGGGUGCCCAAGCGAACGUGGCGCCGAUGAUGGUAGGCUCUACGGCGGGUGGGUUGACGGCGGUGGCAUCUGCUCGCCGGAGUCGGGGCUGAGCGACGCACAGCGCAGUAGAGCACGAGGUCGUGGCUUGCGGCAACACAGCAGCACCAUGCGAGUCGAGUGGCGUGGCAGGGGAGGCUCGGCCGAGGUUGGCCGCGCGCGCGCGCCGCGCUAGCUGUCCAUCGGGCUGCCGCACUGGCUGCGUAGACUGGCUGUCGUGCCACCACGCUGGCUGGCCCCGACAGCGCCCACGCGCGCCUGCAAGGACUCAAGGGGGCGCGCCACCGCGCAGGGGAGUGGCUUGGCCGCUCGGCCAUGGGGAUGGAGAGAGGCUGAGAGGGACGAAAAAAAUAGACGGCAAGGAGUUCUUACCUCGGCAGACUCGAGCGCGGGUGCUAGAACAUGCUCCGGCGAGGUGGACGGCGUGGCGACGAAGAUGGGCGGCACGACAUCAGCGGGUGGCGCGAUGGCGGAGAUGAGCGGUGUGCCGGGCGGUUCCUGGCUCAGGAUGUGAGGAGAUGGGGGCACGGUUUUGCACGAGAGAUGGG
This 2586-nucleotide long non-coding RNA is filed under the name Zea mays. Its description in RNAcentral is "long non-coding RNA (ZMAY_LNC003320)". Lineage: Eukaryota; Viridiplantae; Streptophyta; Magnoliopsida; Poales; Poaceae. The record is from RNAcentral.